Molecule: RNase P RNA, 296 nt
Filed under: Chitinophagaceae bacterium
Lineage: Bacteria; Pseudomonadati; Bacteroidota; Chitinophagia; Chitinophagales; Chitinophagaceae
Description: partial RNase P RNA component class A
Rfam family: Bacterial RNase P class A
About the family: Ribonuclease P (RNase P) is a ubiquitous endoribonuclease, found in archaea, bacteria and eukarya as well as chloroplasts and mitochondria. Its best characterised activity is the generation of mature 5'-ends of tRNAs by cleaving the 5'-leader elements of precursor-tRNAs. Cellular RNase Ps are ribonucleoproteins.
Source: RNAcentral
CCACAGAAAAUUACCGCCACGGAUUUCGGUCCGGGGUCAGGGUGAAAACGUGAGGUAAGAGCUCACGGCUGUACCUGGCAACAGGUAUGGCGGGUAAACCUUGCAUGCUGAAAUGCCACAUAAACCAUCGGUUGAAGGCGGCCCGCCUGAUGCCGUUCUGCCCGGGUCUCGAUCCGGAGCUCCGGCAACGAUGGAGGGUAGGCAGAUUGAUCCGCCGGGCAACCGGCAGGACAGAUAAAUGAUAGCCGUUCCGCCAAAGCGGAAAACAGAAUCCGGCUUAUCGGCCGGAAGCGUUU